Non-coding RNA from Podarcis lilfordi (Lilford's wall lizard), 73 nucleotides. NCBI's taxonomy places the organism in Eukaryota, Metazoa, Chordata, Lepidosauria, Squamata, Lacertidae. The record is from the annotation of a GenBank genome assembly.
GCUCAUCCUUCUCAGUCAGUAGAGCGUGAGACCCAUAUUCUCAGGGCAGUGGGUUCAAGCCCCACGUUGGGCA